This 828-nucleotide ribosomal RNA is filed under the name uncultured bacterium. RNAcentral's name for it is "bacterial SSU rRNA". It matches the Rfam family "Bacterial small subunit ribosomal RNA", at positions 75 to 902 of the family's 1533-position model. The record is from RNAcentral.
UGUAGCAAUACAUCACCAAGAGUGUCGUACGGGUGCGUAACACGUAUGCAACCUACCUUGUACAGGAGAAUAGCUCGGGGAAACUCGAAUUAACCCUCCAUAACAUCUUGGUGAGGCAUCUCAUUGAGAUUAAAACUGAGGUGGUACAAGAUAUGGGCAUGCGUCUGAUUAGUUAGUUGGCGGGGUAAUGGCCCACCAAGACGAUGAUCAGUAGGGGACCUGAGAGGGUGAUCCCCCACACUGGCACUGAGAUACGGGCCAGACUCCUACGGGAGGCAGCAGUAGGGAAUAUUGGACAAUGGGUGAGAGCCUGAUCCAGCCAUGCCGCGUGCAGGAAGAAGGCGUUAUGCGUUGUAAACUGCUUUUGCCAGGGGAUAAAAAGACCGUGCGCGGUUAAUUGAAGGUACCUGGUGAAUAAGCCACGGCUAACUACGUGCCAGCAGCCGCGGUAAUACGUAGGUGGCAAGCGUUGUCCGGAUUUAUUGGGUUUAAAGGGUGCGUAGGCGGCUAACUAAGUCAGUGGUGAAAUAUCUCAGCUUAACUGAGAGGGUGCCAUUGAUACUGGAUAGCUUGAGUACAGAUGAGGUAGGCGGAAUUGACGGUGUAGCGGUGAAAUGCAUAGAUAUCGUCAAGAACACCGAUAGCGAAGGCAGCUUACCAAGCUGUAACUGACGCUGAGGCACGAAAGUGUGGGGAUCAAACAGGAUUAGAUACCCUGGUAGUCCACACUGUAAACGUUGAUGACUCGAUGUUGGCGAUACACAGCCAGCGUCCAAGAGCAAUCGUUAAGUCAUCCACCUGGGGAGUACGCCGGCAACGGUGAAACUC